RNAcentral lists this ribosomal RNA (447 nucleotides) under uncultured Candidatus Scalindua sp. RNAcentral's name for it is "bacterial SSU rRNA". It matches the Rfam family "Bacterial small subunit ribosomal RNA", at positions 394 to 832 of the family's 1533-position model. The record is from RNAcentral. Lineage: Bacteria; Pseudomonadati; Planctomycetota; Candidatus Brocadiia; Candidatus Brocadiales; Candidatus Scalinduaceae.
ACGCCGCGUGGGUGAGGAAGGCCUUCGGGUUGUAAAGCCCUGUCAGGAGUUAAGAAAUGUAAGUGCGCUAAUAUCGCAUUUACUUGACGAAGGCUCCAAAGGAAGCCACGGCUAACUCUGUGCCAGCAGCCGCGGUAAUACAGAGGUGGCAAGCGUUGUUCGGUAUUAUUGGGCGUAAAGAGCACGUAGGUGGUUUUGUAAGUCAGAUGUGAAAGCCUUCUGUUCAAAGGAAGAACGGCAUCUGAAACUGCAAAUCUUGAGUGUANANNGGAGAGUGGAACUUCUGGUGGAACGGUGAAAUGCGUAGAUAUCAGAAGGAACGUCGGCGGCGAAAGCGACUCUCUGGCCUAUUACUGACACUGAGUGUGCGAAAGUUAGGGGAGCAAACGGGAUUAGAUACCCCGGUAGUCCUAACCGUAAACGAUGGGCACUAAGUAGAGGGGCAUU